CCUACGGGGGGCUGCAGUGGGGAAUAUUGGACAAUGGGCGAAAGCCUGAUCCAGCCAUGCCGCGUGUGUGAAGAAGGCCUUCGGGUUGUAAAGCACUUUCAGUGGGGAAGAAAGCCUUGGGGCUAAUACCCUCGAGGAAGGACAUCACCCACAGAAGAAGCACCGGCUAACUCCGUGCCAGCAGCCGCGGUAAUACGGAGGGGUGCGAGCGUUAAUCGGAAUUACUGGGCGUAAGCGCGCGUAGGCGGUCUGAUAAGCCGGUUGUGAAAGCCCCGGGCUCAACCUGGGAACGGCAUCCGGAACUGUCAGGCUAGAGUGCAGGAGAGGAAGGUAGAAUUCCCGGUGUAGCGGUGAAAUGCGUAGAGAUCGGGAGGAAUACCAGUGGCGAAGGCGGCCUUCUGGACUGACACUGACGCUGAGGUGCGAAAGCGUGGGUAGCAAACAGGAUUAGAUACCCUAGUAGUC
Molecule: ribosomal RNA, 465 nt
Filed under: Vreelandella stevensii
Lineage: Bacteria; Pseudomonadati; Pseudomonadota; Gammaproteobacteria; Oceanospirillales; Halomonadaceae
Description: partial 16S ribosomal RNA
Rfam family: Bacterial small subunit ribosomal RNA
Source: RNAcentral